CGAGACUAUUCGGCAUGGUGCCUCGGCUGCUGGUCACGUCCGCUCGGGCGAUCAUGGUGGCAGCGGCUCCUCCGUCGAUUUGUCCGAAGGAGAGCGCUGAGACGCAUCACCGCACUUUCGCCACCCGCCACGCGGCAGCGCCUCAAACCNCGGCUCAAAGCCGAUCACUUGAUCUCAGGGGCAAUCAUCAAUGAUCAAACGACCAUUAGUU
Molecule: unclassified non-coding RNA, 211 nt
Filed under: Hevea brasiliensis (rubber tree)
Lineage: Eukaryota; Viridiplantae; Streptophyta; Magnoliopsida; Malpighiales; Euphorbiaceae
Source: RNAcentral